RNAcentral lists this ribosomal RNA (305 nucleotides) under uncultured bacterium. RNAcentral's name for it is "bacterial SSU rRNA". It matches the Rfam family "Bacterial small subunit ribosomal RNA", at positions 338 to 660 of the family's 1533-position model. The record is from RNAcentral.
CCUACGGGAGGCAGCAGUGGGGAAUAUUGCACAAUGGGGGAAACCCUGAUGCAGCGACGCCGCGUGAGUGAGGAAGUAUUUCGGUAUGUAAAGCUCUAUCAGCAGGGAAGAAAAUGACGGUACCUGACUAAGAAGCCCCGGCUAACUACGUGCCAGCAGCCGCGGUAAUACGUAGGGGGCAAGCGUUAUCCGGAUUUACUGGGUGUAAAGGGCGUGUAGGCGGGCCUGCAAGUCAGAAGUGAAAUCUGGGGGCUUAACCCCCAAACUGCUUUUGAAACUGUGGGUCUUGAGUGAUGGAGAGGCAG